This 253-nucleotide ribosomal RNA is filed under the name uncultured bacterium. RNAcentral describes it as "partial 16S ribosomal RNA". It matches the Rfam family "Bacterial small subunit ribosomal RNA", at positions 524 to 776 of the family's 1533-position model. The record is from RNAcentral.
UACGUAGGGGGCAAGCGUUGUCCGGAAUGAUUGGGCGUAAAGGGCGCGUAGGCGGCCUGUUAAGUCUGGAGUGAAAGUCCUGCUUUUAAGGUGGGAAUUGCUUUGGAAGCUGGCGGGCUGGAGUGCAGGAGAGGUUAGUGGAAUUCCCGGUGUAGCGGUGAAAUGCGUAGAGAUCGGGAGGAACACCAGUGGCGAAGGCGACUAACUGGACUGUAACUGACGCUGAAGCGCGAAAGUGUGGGGAGAAAACAGG